RNAcentral lists this ribosomal RNA (920 nucleotides) under uncultured Bacteroidota bacterium. RNAcentral describes it as "bacterial SSU rRNA". The record is from RNAcentral. Lineage: Bacteria; Pseudomonadati; Bacteroidota.
GAGUUUGAUCAUGGCUCAGGAUGAACGCUAGCGGCAGGCUUAAUACAUGCAAGUCGAGGGGCAGCAGCUUUAUAGCAAUAUAGAGGCUGGCGACCGGCAAACGGGUGCGGAACACGUACACAACCUUCCUUGAAUAGGGGGAUAGCCCAUAGAAAUGUGGAUUAAUACCCCGUAAUAUAGCGGUGUGGCAUCACACUGUUAUUAUAGUUUCGGCGAUUCGAGAUGGGUGUGCGGCUGAUUAGGUAGUUGGCGGGGUAAAGGCCCACCAAGCCUUCGAUCAGUAGCUGAUGUGAGAGCAUGAUCAGCCACACGGGCACUGAGACACGGGCCCGACUCCUACGGGAGGCAGCAGUAAGGAAUAUUGGUCAAUGGACGCAAGUCUGAACCAGCCAUGCCGCGUGAAGGAUGAAGGUCCUCUGGAUUGUAAACUUCUUUUAUAGGGGGCGAAAAGAGGUCUUUCUAGAUCACUUGACAGUACCCUAUGAAUAAGCACCGGCUAACUCCGUGCCAGCAGCCGCGGUAAUACGGAGGGUGCAAGCGUUAUCCGGAUUCACUGGGUUUAAAGGGUGCGUAGGCGGGUAGGUAAGUCAGAGGUGAAAUCCUGGAGCUUAACUCCAGAACUGCCUUUGAUACUAUCUAUCUUGAAUAUGGUGGAGGUAAGCGGAAUAUGUCAUGUAGCGGUGAAAUGCAUAGAUAUGACAUAGAACACCUAUUGCGAAGGCAGCUUACUACGCCUAUAUUGACGCUGAGGCACGAAAGCGUGGGGAUCAAACAGGAUWAGAUACCCUGGUAGUCCACGCCCUAAACGAUGAUUACUCGAACGUAUGCGAUACACAGUAUGSCGUCUGAGCGAAAGCAUUAAGUAAUCYACYUGGGAAGKACGAACGGCARCGUUGAAACUMAGGGAAUUGGSCGGGGGU